CCCUUAGAUGUCCUGGGCUGCACGCGCGCUACACUGACACAUGCAACGAGUUUUUCCUUGCCUGAAAGGGUUGGGUAAUCUCCUUGAAAGUGUGUCGUGAUGGGGAUAGAUUAUUGCAAUUAUUAAUCUUCAACGAGGAAUUCCUAGUAAGUGCAAGUCAUCAGCUUGCGCUGAUUACGUCCCUGCCCUUUGUACACACCGCCCGUCGCUCCUACCGAUUGAGUGAUCCGGUGAGCUCUUCGGACUGCGCGGUCUGCAGUUUCUGCGUUCCGUGCGGAAAGUUGCGCAAACCUUAACAUUUAGAGGAAGGAGAAGUCGUAACA
RNAcentral lists this ribosomal RNA (323 nucleotides) under uncultured eukaryote. RNAcentral's name for it is "partial 18S ribosomal RNA". It matches the Rfam family "Eukaryotic small subunit ribosomal RNA", at positions 1470 to 1796 of the family's 1831-position model. The record is from RNAcentral.